CCUACGGGAGGCGGCAGUGAGGAAUAUUGGUCCAUGGGCGGGAGCCUGAACCAGCCAAGCCGCGUGAGGGAAGAAGGUACAGCGUAUCGUACACCUCUUUUGUCAGGGAACAAAGGCGGGGACUAGUCCCCGGAUGAGGGUACCUGAAGAAAAAGCAUCGGCUAACUCCGUGCCAGCAGCCGCGGUAAUACGGAGGAUGCGAGCGUUAUCCGGAUUUAUUGGGUUUAACGGGUUCGCAGGCGGCCCGUUAAGUCAGCGGUAAAAGCCCGGGGCUCAACCCCGGCGAGCCGUUGAAACUGGCGGGCGGGAGUUGGAGAGAAGUACGCGGAAGGCGCGGUGUAGCGGUGAAAGGCUUAGAUAUCGCGCAGAACCCCGAUUGCGAAGGCAGCGUACCGGCUCCACACUGACGCUGAGGCACGAAAGCGUGGGUAUCGAACAGGAUUAGAUACCCUUGUAGUC
This 459-nucleotide ribosomal RNA is filed under the name uncultured bacterium. Its description in RNAcentral is "partial 16S ribosomal RNA". It matches the Rfam family "Bacterial small subunit ribosomal RNA", at positions 338 to 795 of the family's 1533-position model. The record is from RNAcentral.